RNAcentral lists this ribosomal RNA (253 nucleotides) under uncultured bacterium. Its description in RNAcentral is "partial 16S ribosomal RNA". It matches the Rfam family "Bacterial small subunit ribosomal RNA", at positions 524 to 776 of the family's 1533-position model. The record is from RNAcentral.
UACGGGGGGGGCAAGCGUUGUUCGGAAUUACUGGGCGUAAAGGGCUCGUAGGCGGCCAACUAAGUCGGACGUGAAAUCCCCAGGCUCAACCUGGGAACUGCGUCCGAUACUGGAUGGCUUGAAUCCGGGAGAGGGAUGCAGAAUUCCAGGUGUAGCGGUGAAAUGCGUAGGUAUCUGGAGGAAUACCGGUGGCGAAGGCGGCAUCCUGGACCGGCAUUGACGCUGAGGAGCGAAAGCCAGGGGAGCAAACGGG